AGAUCAUCAUUGGGUAUAAAGCGUGCGCAGGCGGUUUUGUAAGACAGAGGUGAAAUCCCCGGGCUCAACCUGGGAACUGCCUUUGUGACUGCAAGGCUGGAGUGCGGCAGAGGGGGAUGGAAUUCCGCGUGUAGCAGUGAAAUGCGUAGAUAUGCGGAGGAACACCGAUGGCGAAGGCAAUCCCCUGGGCCUGCACUGACGCUCAUGCACGAAAGCGUGGGGAGCAAACA
This 230-nucleotide ribosomal RNA is filed under the name uncultured Alicycliphilus sp. RNAcentral's name for it is "partial 16S ribosomal RNA". It matches the Rfam family "Bacterial small subunit ribosomal RNA", at positions 550 to 774 of the family's 1533-position model. The record is from RNAcentral. Lineage: Bacteria; Pseudomonadati; Pseudomonadota; Betaproteobacteria; Burkholderiales; Comamonadaceae.